RNAcentral lists this ribosomal RNA (268 nucleotides) under uncultured bacterium. Its description in RNAcentral is "partial 16S ribosomal RNA". It matches the Rfam family "Bacterial small subunit ribosomal RNA", at positions 1234 to 1500 of the family's 1533-position model. The record is from RNAcentral.
CGGGUACAACGAGUCGCAAGCUCGCGAGAGUAAGCUAAUCUCUUAAAGCCGUUCUCAGUUCGGACUGUAGGCUGCAACUCGCCUACACGAAGUCGGAAUCGCUAGUAAUCGCGGAUCAGCAUGCCGCGGUGAAUACGUUCCCGGGCCUUGUACACACCGCCCGUCACACCAUGGGAGUUUGUAACGCCCAAAGUCGGUGGCCUAACCUUUAUGGAGGGAGCCGCCUAAGGCGGGACAGAUGACUGGGGUGAAGUCGUAACAAGGUAGC